CCGGCGACCGGCGGACGGGUGCGUAACGCGUAUGUAACCUACCUUUGACAGGGGGAUAACAUCGAGAAAUUGGUACUAAUACCCCAUAACAUCACCGGAGGCAUCUUCGGUGGUUGAAAACUCAGGUGGUCAGAGAUGGACAUGCGUUGUAUUAGCUAGUUGGUGAGGUAACGGCUCACUAAGGCGACGAUACAUAGGGGGACUGAGAGGUCAACCCCCCACAUUGGUACUGAGACACGGACCAAACUCCUACGGGAGGCAGCAG
Molecule: ribosomal RNA, 265 nt
Filed under: uncultured bacterium
Lineage: Bacteria
Description: partial 16S ribosomal RNA
Rfam family: Bacterial small subunit ribosomal RNA
Source: RNAcentral